CUUGCAAUUUAUGGGGUAAUUUGGCAUCCGCUUGGAAGUCAAGUCUCUCAUCAUGGGAAUAGGGGGCUGCUUCUGGCCCUAGCUUCUCUUUAUGUGGCUUUGGUGCUAAACAACUUGUUGGGUUGAAAGUCCUAAGCCACAAAAGAAGUGCGGAUAAAAGUUCCUCAAAUAACCUCCAAAUAUUUUAUUUUAAAACCUAUUAUGUGUGGCCCUUCAUACGGGAAAAAAUAAACUUUAACUACAUAGGACACAUUACACACAUAACACAUAAUAAUAGUAGUAAUGCAUGUAAAUGAGUUUUGAAUUUUAAAAAGAAAAUUGCAAUUAAACAUUUAUAAUCUUAGGACCUAGCAUAAUCGCAAUUAUUUUUUUUUCUUUUUUUUUUUAUGAUUCUAGUACUGUUGUGUGCUACUAUUUUGCAAUUUUUAUAUUGAUACCUAAAAAUUUUACACCUAGCAUUAGCUUCUAGACUUGGUAGUUCCCUUGAUUAUAAAAACGAGAAGUUUUUUUUUUAUGUUCAUUAAAGCUAAGGCUGGGGAUGAGUGACCUGGGGAUUAGUGACCUUGUUUGUUUUGUCAGGAAACCAAUAUCAAUUUCUCAAUUUAUCCUUCCCGAAAAAUCAUAAAUCCUUAUUUGA
This 637-nucleotide long non-coding RNA is filed under the name Eucalyptus grandis. Its description in RNAcentral is "long non-coding RNA (EGRA_LNC006352)". The record is from RNAcentral. Lineage: Eukaryota; Viridiplantae; Streptophyta; Magnoliopsida; Myrtales; Myrtaceae.